UCCGUAGGGUGCAAUCGUUGUCCGGAUUUAUUGGGUUUAAAGGGUGCGUAGGUGGCUUUUUAAGCCAUGGGUGAAAGCCCGCAGCUCAACUGUGGAAUUGCCUGUGAUACUGAGGAGCUUGAGUGCGGUUGAGGCAGCUGGAAUUGGUGGUGUAGCGGUGAAAUGCAUAGAUACCACCAGGAACACCGAUUGCGAAGGCAGGUUGCUAAGCCGUAACUGACACUGAGGCACGAAAGCGUGGGGAGAAAACAGG
This 253-nucleotide ribosomal RNA is filed under the name uncultured bacterium. Its description in RNAcentral is "partial 16S ribosomal RNA". It matches the Rfam family "Bacterial small subunit ribosomal RNA", at positions 524 to 776 of the family's 1533-position model. The record is from RNAcentral.